AUUGAACGCUGGCGGCAUGCCUUACACAUGCAAGUCGAACGGUAGAGUAGCAAUACUCGAGAGUGGCGAACGGGUGAGUAACAUAUCGGAACGUGCCCAAUCGUGGGGGAUAACGUAGAGAAAUUUACGCUAAUACCGCAUACGAUCUAAGGAUGAAAGCGGGGGAUCGCAAGACCUCGCGCGAUUGGAGCGGCUGAUAUCAGAUUAGGUUGUUGGUGAGGUAAAAGCUCACCAAGCCGACGAUCUGUAGCUGGUUUGAGAGAACGACCAGCCACACUGGGACUGAGACACGGCCCAGACUCCUACGGGAGGCAGCAGUGGGGGAAUUUUUGGACAAUGGGCGAAAGCCUGAUCCAGCAAUGCCGCGUGCAGGAAGAAGGCCUCGGUGUAA
RNAcentral lists this ribosomal RNA (391 nucleotides) under uncultured bacterium. RNAcentral's name for it is "bacterial SSU rRNA". It matches the Rfam family "Bacterial small subunit ribosomal RNA", at positions 30 to 428 of the family's 1533-position model. The record is from RNAcentral.